ACUCCUACGGGAGGCAGCAGUGGGGAAUAUUGCACAAUGGGCGCAAGCCUGAUGCAGCCAUGCCGCGUGUGUGAAGAAGGCCUUCGGGUUGUAAAGCACUUUCAGCGAGGAGGAAAGGUUAAGUGUUAAUAGCACUUAGCUGUGACGUUACUCGCAGAAGAAGCACCGGCUAACUCCGUGCCAGCAGCCGCGGUAAUACGGAGGGUGCAAGCGUUAAUCGGAAUUACUGGGCGUAAAGCGCGCGUAGGUUGUUUGUUAAGCGAGAUGUGAAAGCCCCGGGCUCAACCUGGGAACGGCAUUUCGAACUGGCAAGCUAGAGUACAGUAGAGGGUGGCGGAAUUUCCUGUGUAGCGGUGAAAUGCGUAGAGAUGGGAAGGAACAUCAGUGGCGAAGGCGGCCACCUGGACUGAUACUGACACUGAGGUGCGAAAGCGUGGGGGAGCAAACAGGAUUAGAUACCCUGGUAGGUGA
This 471-nucleotide ribosomal RNA is filed under the name uncultured bacterium. Its description in RNAcentral is "bacterial SSU rRNA". It matches the Rfam family "Bacterial small subunit ribosomal RNA", at positions 335 to 797 of the family's 1533-position model. The record is from RNAcentral.